RNAcentral lists this transfer RNA (76 nucleotides) under Gammaproteobacteria bacterium. RNAcentral's name for it is "tRNA-Ala". It matches the Rfam family "tRNA". Rfam says of the family: Transfer RNA (tRNA) molecules are approximately 80 nucleotides in length. Their secondary structure includes four short double-helical elements and three loops (D, anti-codon, and T loops). RNAcentral also lists the same sequence under 1 other name. The record is from RNAcentral. Lineage: Bacteria; Pseudomonadati; Pseudomonadota; Gammaproteobacteria.
GGGGCCGUAGCUCAGUUGGGAGAGCGUCUCGUUCGCAAUGAGGAGGUCGUGGGUUCGAUCCCCGCCGGCUCCACCA